Long non-coding RNA from Trachemys scripta elegans, 1031 nucleotides. RefSeq lists it as uncharacterized. The transcript is spliced from 3 exons. The record is from RefSeq and is a predicted model, not a curated record. NCBI's taxonomy places the organism in Eukaryota, Metazoa, Chordata, Testudines, Emydidae.
GACAGGCUUCCUAGGGCUGGGUUCUUAAAGGCACAGGCAUCCCAACGCGGAGACAGGGCAGCUCCCCUGUAUCUGAUAUACUCACUGAUAGACUUGAUUCAGUGAAAUAUUUUACAUAUUUCACCCCCAAAAACAAUGUGUCAAAAAGUCUCAUAGCAAUUCACAAAUUUGUUUUAUCUGCUGCGGUAAUUCCCUGAAGUGCACUCCUUUCCUUGUAAUCCAUUUUAAAUAUAGUUUUGCUCCUUUCAAUUGUGUACUUUUAAAAAUGUUAUUUUUAUUACUCUUUUGACUCUUUAGCACUUCAUUUACCUUUGUGCAUAUGUAUGUCAUUAUGCUAUUUAAUUUAUAUUUUAAUAGCAAAUACUCAUCGAAAAUAUUUAUAAGUAAAUAGUUGCUAGAAGUUUUAGCAAUGACAUCUGAGUUUCUAGUAUAGCACUUGCUGUAUAUAUGCCUCCCAUUGAUAUCCGCAUGAGCUGUUCAUAUGUUCUGGAGGAGAUUUAUGAUCAAAUACCUGUCAAAGUGAAAUGAAAAAUCCUAAUUUGGCUGAAAAUAUCCAUUUAAAAACAGUUAAAAGAUUUAGAAAGAUACCGUGGAGAAGGGAUAAUUAAGAAUGUGCCUUGUAUGUAUCUUCCUGAAUUCUGAGCCAAGUGGAACAAAGCAUUACAAUCCUACAAGCUGUUAGAAACAACUGACCAGGAAUCCAGAACAUUCCAAACUAAUUGUGUUUAUCCAGCCAGAACAGGGAGGAAUGCUCCUACAUUCAGUGGUGGAGAUAGCAUUGCUUACUACCCUCAUAAAUAUAAUCACUGAAGCAAGGUCUGGAAUAAAGAUGCUAAAGAAUUAUACACCAAUGCCCAACAUAAGAGGAAAGUUGUAUACAUAUAAAUCAUAUGCAGCUGUCACCUAAGUUCAUUUUAAAAUUAAAGAAUUUGAGAUCUUUAAUAUUUUAAGUGUGCUGUAUAUAGAGAAUGUAAAUGUGUAGUUUAAUUUCAUGUACUUCUGUUUGUAGCAGAAAUAAUGACUAAGCAUAA